CAGCCGCCGCGGUAAAACGUAGGUCCCGAGCGUUGUCCGGAUUUAUUGGGCGUAAAGCGAGCGCAGGCGGUUAGAUAAGUCUGAAGUUAAAGGCUGUGGCUUAACCAUAGUACGCUUUGGAAACUGUUUAACUUGAGUGCAAGAGGGGAGAGUGGAAUUCCAUGUGUAGCGGUGAAAUGCGUAGAUAUAUGGAGGAACACCGGUGGCGAAAGCGGCUCUCUGGCUUGUAACUGACGCUGAGGCUCGAAAGCGUGGGGAGCAAACAGGAUUAGAUACCCGCGUAGUCCCUGUCUCUUAUACA
RNAcentral lists this ribosomal RNA (301 nucleotides) under uncultured bacterium. RNAcentral's name for it is "partial 16S ribosomal RNA". It matches the Rfam family "Bacterial small subunit ribosomal RNA", at positions 509 to 808 of the family's 1533-position model. The record is from RNAcentral.